AGUCUGACCUSCCCAAUGAUUUGUUUGAAUGSCCGCGAUAUUUUGAUCGUGCAAAGGUAGCAUAAUMAUUAGUUUUUUAAUUGAGAACUGGAAUGAAAGGUCGAACGAGAMMAUAACUGUCUCAGUUUAAGUUUAAAUUAGAAUUUUAUUUUUAAGUUAAAAAGCUUAAAUAAUUUUAAAAGACGAGAAGACCCUAUAGAGUUUAAUAUUUGUUAAUUAUUUUUUAAUUUUUAGAAUUUAAUUUUGAAAUUAAUUUAUAAAGUAUUUAAUUGGGGUGAUUGAAAAAUUUAAUAAACUUUUUUUAUAUUAUAUCAUUGAUUUAUGAUUGAAUGAUCCAUAUUUUAUGAUUAAAAGAUAAAAUUACCUUAGGGAUAACAGCGUAAUUUUUUUUGAGAGUUCUUAUCGAAAAAAUAGAUUGCGACCUCGAUGUUGGAUUAAAAUUAACUUAUGGUGUAGAAGCUAUAAAUGUUAG
RNAcentral lists this ribosomal RNA (472 nucleotides) under Onthophagus praecellens. RNAcentral describes it as "partial 16S ribosomal RNA". It matches the Rfam family "Archaeal large subunit ribosomal RNA", at positions 1946 to 2645 of the family's 2987-position model. The record is from RNAcentral. Lineage: Eukaryota; Metazoa; Arthropoda; Insecta; Coleoptera; Scarabaeidae.